CGAUAAGAUAUUGUGAGAUAAACGAACGAUGAUUUCGUUUUGAGAUCAAACGAAGAGUACUCUCUGUCUCUUGUUGUAGAAAUACAAUUUAUCACAAAUUCAAUUCAAAAAUAUUACUCGUUGCGUUCAAAGAAAUGCCGCCUCGUCAGGACAUUGUGGUGCAGGUGGAGCGAAUCCAGGUGCAGGCGUCGCCUCCCCCUCCCCCUCCACCUGGGAGACUUCAGCGACCCCCUCAUGACCACCCCUCGACCUACAUCGACAGAAAUGUGCGUCAAAGAAACAACACGCAAAGAACGGCGCAAGCUAAUAGCUAAAGAUUUAUUUUUAACUUUUAAGAAUUCGAUUUAAGCUAAGUACAUAAUUGUAAACUAUUUCAAAAAUAUAUUUUUACUUAUUACA
Long non-coding RNA from Nymphalis io (European peacock), 399 nucleotides. RefSeq lists it as uncharacterized. NCBI's taxonomy places the organism in Eukaryota, Metazoa, Arthropoda, Insecta, Lepidoptera, Nymphalidae. The transcript has 2 exons. The record is from RefSeq and is a predicted model, not a curated record.